RNAcentral lists this ribosomal RNA (314 nucleotides) under uncultured bacterium. RNAcentral's name for it is "partial 16S ribosomal RNA". It matches the Rfam family "Bacterial small subunit ribosomal RNA", at positions 495 to 807 of the family's 1533-position model. The record is from RNAcentral.
GUAUAAGAGACAGCAGUCGCCGCGGGAAUACGGAGGGUGCAAGCGUUAAUCGGAAUUACUGGGCGUAAAGCGCACGCAGGCGGUUUGUUAAGUCAGAUGUGAAAUCCCCGAGCUUAACUUGGGAACUGCAUUUGAAACUGGCAAGCUAGAGUCUUGUAGAGGGGGGUAGAAUUCCAGGUGUAGCGGUGAAAUGCGUAGAGAUCUGGAGGAAUACCGAUGGCGAAGGCAGCCAUCUGGCCUAAUACUGACGCUGAGGUACGAAAGCAUGGGGAGCAAACAGGAUUAGAUACCCGAGUAGUCCCUGUCUCUUAUAC